AUACGGAGGAUGCGAGCGUUAUCCGGAUUUAUUGGGUUUAAAGGGUGCGUAGGCUGUGCGUUAAGUCAGGGGUGAAAUGCCGUCGCUCAACGACGGAGCUGCCCUUGAUACUGGCGUGCUGGAGUACGGAUGCCGUUGGAGGAAUGAGUGGUGUAGCGGUGAAAUGCUUAGAUAUCACUCAGAACACCGAUUGCGAAGACAUCUGACGAACCCGUCACUGACGCUGAGGCACGAAAGCGUGGGGAUAGAACAGGAUUAGAUACCCUGGUAUUCCACGCCGUAAACGAUGAUGACUAACCGUCGGCGAUAGACAGCCGGUGGCCAAGCGAAAGCGAUAAGUCAUCCACCUGGGGAGUACGUCGGCAACGAUGAAACUCAAAUGAAUUGACGGGG
This 393-nucleotide ribosomal RNA is filed under the name uncultured bacterium. RNAcentral describes it as "partial 16S ribosomal RNA". It matches the Rfam family "Bacterial small subunit ribosomal RNA", at positions 523 to 918 of the family's 1533-position model. The record is from RNAcentral.